CCUCUUGGUGAUGACAAGAUCCUCGGCUACAUGCUAGCCGGUCUUGGUUCUGAAUUUGAACCUCUGGUGGCCUCCAUCACUGCUCGCGAGGAGCCGAUCAGCCUUGGCAGCUUUACGCGUUCCUCGUCAGUGCCGAGU
Triticum urartu is the source of this 138-nucleotide non-coding RNA. NCBI's taxonomy places the organism in Eukaryota, Viridiplantae, Streptophyta, Magnoliopsida, Poales, Poaceae. The record is from Rfam.